Molecule: transfer RNA, 68 nt
Filed under: Leptoderma lubricum
Lineage: Eukaryota; Metazoa; Chordata; Actinopteri; Alepocephaliformes; Alepocephalidae
Description: tRNA-Trp
Source: RNAcentral
GGGGCUUAGGAAUAACAAGACCAAGGACCUUCAAAGCCCUAAGCAGGAGUGAAAAUCUCCUAGCCCCU